This 1410-nucleotide ribosomal RNA is filed under the name Salmonella enterica subsp. enterica serovar Hadar. Its description in RNAcentral is "partial 23S ribosomal RNA". It matches the Rfam family "Bacterial large subunit ribosomal RNA", at positions 1556 to 2925 of the family's 2925-position model. Lineage: Bacteria; Pseudomonadati; Pseudomonadota; Gammaproteobacteria; Enterobacterales; Enterobacteriaceae. The record is from RNAcentral.
CUGAGGCGUGACGACGAGGCACUACGGUGCUGAAGCAACAAAUGCCCUGCUUCCAGGAAAAGCCUCUAAGCAUCAGGUAACAUCAAAUCGUACCCCAAACCGACACAGGUGGUCAGGUAGAGAAUACCAAGGCGCUUGAGAGAACUCGGGUGAAGGAACUAGGCAAAAUGGUGCCGUAACUUCGGGAGAAGGCACGCUGACACGUAGGUGAAGUGAUUUACUCAUGGAGCUGAAGUCAGUCGAAGAUACCAGCUGGCUGCAACUGUUUAUUAAAAACACAGCACUGUGCAAACACGAAAGUGGACGUAUACGGUGUGACGCCUGCCCGGUGCCGGAAGGUUAAUUGAUGGGGUCAGCGCAAGCGAAGCUCCUGAUCGAAGCCCCGGUAAACGGCGGCCGUAACUAUAACGGUCCUAAGGUAGCGAAAUUCCUUGUCGGGUAAGUUCCGACCUGCACGAAUGGCGUAAUGAUGGCCAGGCUGUCUCCACCCGAGACUCAGUGAAAUUGAACUCGCUGUGAAGAUGCAGUGUACCCGCGGCAAGACGGAAAGACCCCGUGAACCUUUACUAUAGCUUGACACUGAACAUUGAGCCUUGAUGUGUAGGAUAGGUGGGAGGCUUUGAAGUGUGGACGCCAGUCUGCAUGGAGCCGACCUUGAAAUACCACCCUUUAAUGUUUGAUGUUCUAACGUGGACCCGUUACCCGGGUUGCGGACAGUGUCUGGUGGGUAGUUUGACUGGGGCGGUCUCCUCCUAAAGAGUAACGGAGGAGCACGAAGGUUGGCUAAUCCUGGUCGGACAUCAGGAGGUUAGUGCAAUGGCAUAAGCCAGCUUGACUGCGAGCGUGACGGCGCGAGCAGGUGCGAAAGCAGGUCAUAGUGAUCCGGUGGUUCUGAAUGGAAGGGCCAUCGCUCAACGGAUAAAAGGUACUCCGGGGAUAACAGGCUGAUACCGCCCAAGAGUUCAUAUCGACGGCGGUGUUUGGCACCUCGAUGUCGGCUCAUCACAUCCUGGGGCUGAAGUAGGUCCCAAGGGUAUGGCUGUUCGCCAUUUAAAGUGGUACGCGAGCUGGGUUUAGAACGUCGUGAGACAGUUCGGUCCCUAUCUGCCGUGGGCGCUGGAGAACUGAGGGGGGCUGCUCCUAGUACGAGAGGACCGGAGUGGACGCAUCACUGGUGUUCGGGUUGUCAUGCCAAUGGCACUGCCCGGUAGCUAAAUGCGGAAGAGAUAAGUGCUGAAAGCAUCUAAGCACGAAACUUGCCCCGAGAUGAGUUCUCCCUGAGACUUUAGGUCUCCUGAAGGAACGUUGAAGACGACGACGUUGAUAGGCCGGGUGUGUAAGCGCAGCGAUGCGUUGAGCUAACCGGUACUAAUGAACCGUGAGGCUUAACCUUACAACGCCGAAGCUGUU